GAUGAUGAACGUAGUGAAAUGCGAUAAGUAAUGUGAAUUGCAGAAUUCAGUGAAUCAUCGAAUCUUUGAACGCACAUUGCGCCCCUUGGUAUUCCGAGGGGCAUGCCUGUUCGAGCGUCAUUAUAACCCUCAAGCUCAGCUUGGUGUUGGGGCCUGCUGCACUGGCAGCCCUUAAAAUCAGUGGCGGCGCCAUCUGGCUCUAAGCGUAGUAAUUCUUCUCGCUAUGGAGUCCUGGUGGAUGCUUGCCAUCAACCCCCAAUUUUUCUAUGGUUGACCUCGGAUCAGGUAGGGAUACCCGCUGAACUUAAGCAUAUCAAUAAGCGGAGGA
Molecule: unclassified non-coding RNA, 328 nt
Filed under: soil metagenome
Description: partial contains 5.8S ribosomal RNA, internal transcribed spacer 2, and large subunit ribosomal RNA
Rfam family: 5.8S ribosomal RNA (bases 1-120)
Source: RNAcentral